Molecule: ribosomal RNA, 459 nt
Filed under: uncultured bacterium
Lineage: Bacteria
Description: SSU rRNA
Rfam family: Bacterial small subunit ribosomal RNA
Source: RNAcentral
AGAAUCAACGCUGGCGGCGUGCCUAACACAUGCAAGUCGAACGAGAAAGUGGAGCAAUCCAUGAGUAAAGUGGCGACCGGGUGAGUAACACGUGACUAACCUACCUUCGAGUGGGGGAUAACAUCGGGAAACCGAUGCUAAUACCGCAUAACAUCGCAAGAUCAAAGCAGCAAUGCGCUGGAAGAGGGGGUCGCGGCUGAUUAGCUAGUUGGCGGGGUAACGCCCACCAAGGCAAAGAUCGGUAGCCGGCCUGAGAGGGCGCACGGCCACACUGGAACUGAAACACGGUCCAGACUCCUACGGGAGGCAGCAGUGGGGAAUUUUGCGCAAUGGGGGAAACCCUGACGCAGCAACGCCGCGUGGAGGAUGAAGCCCCUUGGGGUGUAAACUCCUUUCGACCAAGACGAUAAUGACGGUACUGGUGGAAGAAGCACCGGCUAACUCUGCGCCAGCAGCCGC